GUCCCGUACCCGACCCGGUUUGUUGUUACCGUUGGAUUCGGAUCAUCCCCAAACAUCUACAAAACAUCACCGUUUUCUUCAUUGGACUUCCUAAACUAUAUUUUCUCAGCCGUCCGAUUUUAAUCAGAUGAUCCAAAAUACCCCUUUCUUUCCCUAUAUAAAGUCCCCUAAUCUAUAUAUGGACAAACCCUAACUUCUAGGGAGAUGUCCCAUCCAUCCUCCUAGCCGCCGCCACACUCCACCUUGUCGUCUCCCACCUCGGGAUCUCCUCAUUCCCCCCCCCCAAUCCAUCGAUCCAACCAACCAGAGCUCCUCCUCCCGUGCGCCUCCACCUGCGCCCGCAUCCUUCGUCCUCCGCGCCCAGGCAGUCCCCGACGCCAUGGCCCCGCCGUCAAGCAGCUCGACCCCGCCGCGGCCUGAAGUCCUCUGCUCCAAUCGCCAUCACCGGAUCGCGCCACCACAGAGACGCAGCCGAGCCCCAUGGCGCCGUUGUCAGUGACCCCGAGCGCGCCUGAGAUGCCCUUCCUCCGCUGACCUCCUUCGAGCGCCGCCCCUUCCUCCUCUACUCCAACCCACGCCUUCGGCGGCCUUCUCCUCGUCGUCGCCUAGUAGGUGCUCUCCCCGAUCCUGGUGCCCCAUCUUCGACCGAAGCCAGGAACGCCCAGCGUCCCUGCGCCGCCGCGCCAAGUCCCCUGCGUCGAGCCGCCGCAUCCGCCGCUGCGGUCCCGCCGUGCUGCGCCCCUGCUUUGUCUCGCUGCGGGAGGAGCAGAGAGCCAGCGCCAAGCCCCUGCCUCCUGCCGUUGCCCGGAGCCGGCGCCCCUUUGCCCGUCCUCGCCGGAUUGAGCAGCCUCCGCGCCCCUGCCAAGCCCGCCUCCUGUCACCAAGCGCCGCCACUGCCGGACGCCCCGCGGCGUCGACCUGCUCUCAGCGCCGAUGCUUCCUCUGCUUCGCUCGACUGGAUGCAGCUGCUCGCCCCAUUGACCGCGCGAGCCUCGUCAGCGCAUAUCUGCCUCGCUGGCCAAGGCCCAGCCUGCUCCAGCUCCUCAACCGGCCUGCUACCUCCU
This is a long non-coding RNA of Aegilops tauschii subsp. strangulata, 1064 nucleotides long. RefSeq lists it as uncharacterized. The record is from RefSeq and is a predicted model, not a curated record. Lineage: Eukaryota; Viridiplantae; Streptophyta; Magnoliopsida; Poales; Poaceae.